UCCUGGAAAGGAAGUGGGAUCUUUCCUGUGUUUAGAAGGACACAUGGAAAAUCAGCUAUGUGAGUGAACCUUUCUUUUUAUCUCGCUCCAGCGCCAGCUGCAGAACUCCACCCAGCGGCAGAAGCAGAGCAGUGGGCAGUGGUGGAGGUAGAGCUGGCUCCAGCUCCGUUGACAUCACCCCCUCUAGCGCUGCAGCCAGCGUCCCCUCCCUCAGCAGUAUUGGAGCUGGAGCAAGGGCCAACAUCAGCUCCAGCAGGAGUGGGAGCUUCUGAGCUAGAGUCACCUGGACCAUCAUUUUCUAGUGGGAAGUCCAUCUCCACCUGUGGCUCAUAAGGAGCGUGAGAAGAAGCCCAACCUCACGGCCUUCCCUCCUAAACUGGUGGUGGAGCAGUUGACCAUGAUGGAUGCAACCGUAGAGGUGGACACUAACAGGACCUGCUGCACAGAGUGGCUGUGCCGACUCCAUGAAGUAGAAGAGAAAGAAAGGUGGGCGGGGCCUGACACAUCAGUGUGGGGGGGUCACUGUGUGCAGCCAGAUCCCUGGUAGCCCAACCGGCUGCUCAGGAGGCUCAACAGCUUCAGGACUUAUUAGAUACCUGAUGUGUACUCCACUACAAGGGAGACAGACAAGGCCCGUGGUUGUAGCUGCCACGGGGGAAUGUGCAUCAGAAUGUGGAGUGGGACCAGAGGGGGAUCAGGGUGGUGGAAUAUGCCCUGUUGAGCCACCGUCUGGAGCUUGGAGUUAUCGAGGAUGGGCUGGGUGCAAAUGCCCAUCUCCCUUCCCUGCCAGUAUUGGGUCCAGGGUCAUCCUGUGCUGGGUGCCCACAGUGGACAGAGAAGAAAAGCCAGGGACUCUCACAAGGCUCAGGCCACAUCCUGAGCUUCCUGAGCUCCAGCUCUAAACUGUGACCCCUGUGUGGGACUUUGGGGGCUAUGGACACAGAGCUGGGGUGUGGCAGGGCUGGGUGACACUCUCCCUGUGAGUGUUAGUUUUUGGGUCCUAAAUGUGCCCUUCUGGGACUCCCUGAGAAUCUGUCUCAUCCAGGAGGGGAGAUUUAAAUAGAAGGGGACUGAAGCUAGAGCAAGCGGGGCUCCAGCGCCCCACCUCACAGCUCAUUCUCUUCCCAUCCCCAGGAGUGGGAGAUCCUGAAGAACUUCUCCUCGCCCCACACUGUCAUUUCUGUUCUGCAGAAAACCUCCACAAACCAUCUGAAGAAUACAUGAGGAGAAGUUUCCCUGUGGGAGGGGCCCUCCACGUUUGCCCCCCCGGAGAUCAGCCCCCAGAGGGUGCAGGAGAAGCAGCAGCAGCAGCAGCAGGUGAGUGUGCCUGUGGGGGAGGGUCUCUGUGCUCCCAGCUGGAGGCCUCAAAUCAAGAGAGGAGGGCCCUUCCUCUUGCUGCCACAGUGUCCGAAUCCCCCAGUAGAAGUGACCAGGAGGGCCUGGAAGAGCUGGUGCAGGAUGGGUUUGUUGUGGGGAGGGCCAGGGACCGCACACCCUGUGAUUUGCCAUAAGCCGGCCCUGGGAGGUGAGGAGGAGGAGUGUGGUGUUCUUGGGGUGUGAAGGGAGGAGGAAUUGAGGGGAGGCUGCUAAAGUUCCUAGGCUGCUCCCCUUGGGAACCCUGGCGUGGGCCAGGCUGAGGGUGAGGACUUUUCAGGGGAGGUCCUGUAGGGAGUUGACUUGAGAGUAAGGGCUUAUCCCACCUGCACCCUGAUGUCACAGGGUGUCAUCCCCUAUCUUGGCACUUUCCUCAGUGACCUGCUGAUGUUGUACCUGGUGAUGGGUGAUUAUCUCGAGGUUGGUGAACCUGAGGACCAGGCAGAGAGGACCAAGAUCCUGAUCCUUGUGAUGCGGGAGCCCCCAAACUGAGCUCUGAGCUCUCAGCACUUGGCACAUCUCUCAUGAGAGCCUCGCAGCUGCCCCUGGGAGCUGGGGCAUCAGGCCCAUCUUAGGGAUGAGUGAACAGAGGCUUCACCUGAGCCAUCCAUUCUGGUUCAGAGCUGCCUGAUGGCACAGCUGCGUGAGGUUUUAUCUGAGCUGGACUCAGCCUCUCCCUCCCAUGCUGCCCAUGGAGGGAGAGAGAAGUCGGGCCCCCCCAAGUCAGGCAGCACAUAAGUGGCUGAGCAGCCCCCUCUGCCUGAGGCCUCAGCCUCCAAUCUGUCAUCAGAGAGGGUUGUGCUGCCAGGUCCCUCAGCCUCACCCCCAUGUGCUCCUUCUCUGGAGCCCAGAGCCCGGCCUAGGUCCAAGUCCUGUUUUCUCUGCAUGCCCCGCCCCCUCUGGGGACCUGGCAGUAGUGCAACAUGAGAAGGGGUGGGCAUAGGGGGCUAGUCAGUCUAGGGGUCUUUGUCUGAUGGACUCUGGCUGUCUACCUUCCAGGAAAUGAGAUCAACCUUGAGAAGAGGACUGAGGAAUACCGAGUCAUGAGGGAGAUCCUGCUGCUCCAGGAGGCUGCAAAGAAUUACAAACAGAGCCUGAGGAGUGAUUUGGUGCCUGGCUCCAGGACAUGGAGCUGCUCAACGAGAAUGAGAGCUACAGCCUGUCUUGCCAGCUGGAGCCCCAGACCUAGUUGGCCUGCAGAAUACUCAAGGCCAAGAAGAACCGGCCGUCAUCAAGGUCAGGGCCCCCAGGCCCCAACACCGAGCCCCGUGCCAGUGGCCGGUCACAGCCCCAUCCUCAGCAGUGGGGACACAGCUGGGAUGCUUGCAAUGCACCGGGCCAGCUCCUCCCACCUGAUGGGAAAGGGAGCAUUGUAAGCUGAUUCUUGGGGCCCCCUGGAGCCCAAGAGAGAGGGGACGACCCCACCCCAGCUCCCUGACAUCUCUACCCCAGCACCUACUCACCCAUUGGGGAGGGACAGUGAUUGUUUGUUGUAAAUAAUAAAUGCCAUAUUUGAAUAUUAAAGUUUUGUUCCUUUUACAGCCUAGGAGUUGUGGUGUGCUUCUGUUGUUUUCUGUAGGCAUGUGAGACACAGAAUCUCAUUUCUCCUUGAAUCAAGAACUCUUCCGGGUCAUCAGCUUAUUGUAUGUGGGAGAAGGGAGAAGGGCCAGUCCCUUUCCUGG
This is a long non-coding RNA of Diceros bicornis minor, 3056 nucleotides long. RefSeq lists it as uncharacterized. Lineage: Eukaryota; Metazoa; Chordata; Mammalia; Perissodactyla; Rhinocerotidae. The record is from RefSeq and is a predicted model, not a curated record. The transcript has 6 exons.